CUCUCCGCUGUGACCCGGGCCGGAGGAAUCCCGGGAGCGGCUCGGCAGCCGCGGGAAGAAGGGGAGAUGCAGGCGGCCGCCUCUGGCUCAGCUGGCGCCGCGGGAGGGGCAGGAGGAGGCAGCUCCCAAGAGCAGCAGCUCAACCCAUUGUCUCAAGUAUUCCAGGAGUGUAACUGAAAGCACAUGCUUUAUACAAGAGUGGAAACAAACAGUACAUUACAGAUGAACCCAUAAUCAUCAUACCCCACUUAAAAUGAUGCAACAAUCCACAAUAUUUGUCAAUAACGGAACACAGGAGAUCUCAUCCUGCAGCCAGAAUUCCCAGGAGUAGUCUUAUUCAUGUCAGCUCCCAGACUACUGCACUGGGCAGCACAGCAUGGGGAGGAGGUGACCAGCCCUCUGUGGAGAAAGAAGUGGUUCGGGACUAUUUAGAAAAGCUGGAUGAUGCGCUGCAUCCAAGAGUGCAAAAGGAGUUGGCGGAUGUGAUUGCAGAGCCAUUGGCCAUUAUCUUUGAAAACUCAUGGCGAUCAGGGGAGGUCCCGGACGGCUGGAAAAAGGCUAAUGUAGUGCCCAUUUUUAAAAAAGGGAAGAAGGAGGAUCCUGGGAACUACAGACCAAUCAGCCUCACCUCAGUCACUGGAAAAAUCAUGGAGCAGGUCCUCAAGGAAUCAAUUCUGAAGCAUUUAGAGGAGAAGAAAGUGAUCAGGAACAAUCAGCAUGGAUUCACCAAGGGAAGUCAUGCCUGACUAAUCUAAUUGCCUUCUAUGACGAGAUAACUGGCUCUGGAUGAGGGGAAAGCAGUGGACGUGUUGUUCCUUGACUUUAGCAAAGCUUUUGACACGGUCUCCCACAGUAUUCUUGUCAGCAAGUUAAAGAAGUAUGGGCUGGAUGAAUGGACUAUAAGGUGGAUAGAAAGUUGGCUAGAUUGUUGGGCUCAAUGGGUAGUGAUCAAUGGCUCCAUGUCUAGUUGGCAGCUGGUAUCAAGUGGAGUGCCCCAAGGGUCGGUCCUGGGGCCGGUUUUGUUCAAUAUCUUCAUAAAUGAUCUGGAGGAUGGUGUGGAUUGCACCCUCAGCAAGUUUGCAGAUGACACUAAACUGGGAGAAGAGGUAGAUACGCUGGAGGGUAGGGAUAGGAUACAGAGGGCCCUAGACAAAUUAGAGGAUUGGGACAAAAGAAAUCUGAUGAGGUUCAACAAGGACAAGUGCAGAGUCCUGCACUUAGGACAGAAGAAUCCCAUGCACUGCUACAGAGUAGGGACCGAAUGGCUAGGCAGCAGUUCUGCAGAAAAGGACCUAGGGGUUACAGUGGACGAGAAGCUGGAUAUGAGUCAACAGUGUGUCCUUGUUGCCAAGAAGGCCAAUGGCAUUUUGGGAUGUAUAAGUAGGGGCAUUUCCAGCAGAUUAAGGGACAUGAUCGUUCCUCUCUAUUCGACAUUGGUGAGGCCUCAUCUGGAGUACUGUGUCCAAUUUUGGGCCCCACACUACAAGAAAGAUGUGGAAAAAUUGGAAAACGUCCAGCGGAGGACAUCAAAAAUGAUUAGGGGACUGGAACACAUGACUUAUGAGGAGAGGCUGAGGGAACUGGGAUUGUUUAGUCUGCGGAAGAGAAGAAAGAGGGGGGAUUUGAUAGCUGCUUUCAACUGCCUGAAAGGGGUUCCAAAGAGGAUGGAUCUAGACUGUUCUCAGUGGUAGCAGAUGACAGAACAAAGAGUAAUGGUCUCAAGUUGCAGUGCGGGAGGUUUAGGUUGGAUAUUAGGAAAAACUUUUUCACUAGGAGGGUGGUGAAACACUGGAAUGCAUUACCUAGGGAGGUGGUGGAAUCUCCUUCUUUAGAAGUUUUUAAGGUCAGGCUUGAUAAAGCCCUGGCUGGGAUGAUUUAGUUGGGGAUUGGUCCUGCUUUGAGCAGGGGGUUGGACUAGAUGACCUCCUGAGGUCCCUUCCAACCCUGAUAUUCUGUGAUUCAGAUCAUCACACGAUAGAACCAGUAACUUCAACUACACCCCGUAAUGAACUGUCAGCCAGGGCAUGUCACAAUGCACAGGUGUAAUAUUUUGUAUGAAACAUCACUUCAUAAACAGGCCUGUGAUUUCUGUACUAGCUGCUAUUUCCAGAUGUUUUAAGGUAUAGCCCCAUUACAAUAAUCCAAGGAAAAUUAUUACAAUAAGAGCCAUAUCUGAAAAAGACACAACCUCCUCCUAAGUGCAAAUGAUAAAAUGUGCUCUUAGGAACAGCUGCCAUCUGAGUAAUCAGGAGCAGCCUGGGAUCCAACAAAACCCCCAGGCUGUCGAACCUUUGAAACAGUGGGCAUACCCUCUCAACCAAGGAUGCUGAUAUCCCAGUUCUUCCAUUUGCUUCUCCCAUCCCUAUAAGCAUUUUUCCUAUCAUUCCUACACAGUAGAGGGAAUCCCUGGGUGACUUAGGCCUGGUCUACAAUACAAAGGUAGGCCUACAUAAGCUGCCUUGCGUCAACCUAGUUGUGCACGUGUCUACAGUGAAACUUGUCUUCCACCGAUGUGAGCUCCCCAUUACGCCAACAUACCAAUACCACUUCCCCAAGGACCACUGAGCCAUGGUUGAUGUAUUGAGAUUGACACAGCAUGAACAUAGACACACCGAUGUCAACCCUAAUAGUCCUCCAGCAGCUGUCCCACAAUACCCAACACUUUGGUCACAGUUGUGAACUCCACUGCCCAAGGGUCAUGGAGACUGGAAGUUCCCCCUACCCCCCUUUAAGCCCUGCACGGUUUUGAAAUGCCUUUUAGUGAUUGUCCAUUUUGGUGAGAACACCUAGCAGCUCUCCAUUGUUGCAUGCAACUUCCCAGCUGACCAUGCCAGCUACAUGCUUGGGCCUGUGGAGAGAAGAGGCUGUUCAGGCACAACCUCGGAUCACACACAGAAACGUGGACAUCUACAGUUAAAUUGAAUGGUGGGUGCAGGAGAAGGAAUCGGGGAUCAGCAGCAGUGCCGCAUGAAAGUGAAGGAACAGCAGCAGGCAUAUCAGAAGGCCAGGGAAGCCAACAGUUGAUCUAGUGCCAAGCCACAGACCUGGCACUUUCACAAAAAGAUGCAUGCCGUACUUGGCGGAGACCUGACCACCACCUCGCAUACCGCUAUGGGCACCUCCAAUGAGCCCAAGUUACAGACUCCUGGCAUGAACAGCGAGGAGGAGAAGGAUGGGGGAUGUGAGCUGGGGUCCAACUAUGCCCUGAGCUGUUUGAGACUCCACCAUAGUCCAGUUAGUCAAGCACGGGCAAACCUGAUGCAGGGGAAGGAAUCUUGGCUGCUGCCAUUCAGGCCAUGAGGGGUUCCCCCUCCACACCCAUGGAUGCCUGAGCCAGAUAAAGAAGAGAAAUAAGAUAUUUAGGAUGACAUGUACAGCAAGAUCCUGCAAGCCAGUGCUGUAUCAGACCCUGAACAGAGAGCCUGGAGAAAGGCCCAGAUGUCAGAGAGCGAGAUGCACCAGGAUAUAAUAGGGUUUCUCCGGCAGCAAACACAGAUGCUGCAGACUCCUGUGGACCUACAGGGUCAAUAAUCCUGGACUCACCUACCUUUGGUGAACUCCAGUACAUGGAGAAUUCUAGUAUAGCACACUCCACUCCCCAUAAAUGCUACUCAACAUUCCACAGAGUAUCAGGGAUCAUGUCCCUACCCCUACCAGUCCACACUGGGAGAUAUUAAGGACAACUACAGCUUCACCUAUGAGAGCCAUGGUAGCUGUAUGUGUUGCUAAAUUGGACAUGAUUUCAUUCUUCAAGCUCUGUUCCAUAUAUUUAUUAAGGUUUUAACAUGUUUUCUUUUUUAAGCUGCACAACAUUUUUUGAAGUGUUUUCAUUACCCAACAAAACAGUAUUUUUUGGAAAAUAAUUCAUCUUUAUUAGUCCCAAACAUAUGCUGCAGAAUGUGUGGUGGAAGUGAAAGCAUCCACUUGUUGUUGUACGAUAUGACACAGCUCAUAGGAUCAGUGACAAACACAGUGUAAUAAUUAUAAAUGUACAGGGAGCCCCACAAAAAUAAUAGGAGUAGUGACCGUAUUAUAUCCAUAAAUGUGCACCAAGCACCACACACUUCCUAACAGACCCCCAAGCUUCAGGGCCAGGUAGAGAACAGUACACCAUGAUGCAUUUCUGUGGAUCACUGUUCAAGUGCUUUUUCAAAGCUGCCCUGAACCCUAAAGUUCUGCUUCGAGCUCUUCUGAUAGCUCUUGUGGCUGGCUGUUAAAACUUAGCAGAUUGCUGCUCCACCUCCACCCCAGUAGCAACUUUCCUACUUUUGCUUCUCAGCUAUUAUGCAGGACACAAAAGGCACCUCUAACCAUUGGGAUAUUUUUCUCACUGAGAUCCAAUCUUGUGAGUAAGGUACACCAGCACCCAUUCAGUCUACCACUGGCACAUUCAACUGUCAUUCUGCAGCUAUCAGAGGAACAGCCGUGUUAGUCUGUAUUCGCAAAAAGAAAAGGAGUACUUGUGGCACCGUAGAGACUAACCAAUUUAUUUGAGCAUGAGCUUUCGUGAGCUACAGCUCACUUCAUCAGAUGUUUACCGUGGAAACUGCAGCAGACUUUAUAUACACACAGAGAAUAUGAAACAAUACCUCCUCCCACCCCACUGUCCUGCUGGUAAUAGCUUAUCUAUUAUCUAUUCUGCAGCUACUGAGCCAGUAGCUGAAUCUUUCUUUGGUGCUGUGACGGUGGCUGAUAUAUGGCUUCAUGAGUAAGGGAUAGUCUGAGUCCCCCAGGAUCACUACUGGCAUUUCAACAUUGCUAAUGGUAAUCUGCUAGUUGGAAAAGAAACUCUUUGCUUGUAGCUUUCUAAACAGUCCUUUGUUCUUAAAGAUAUGAGUGUCAUGUACCUUCUCUGACCAGCUAACAGUGAUAUAGGUGAAACAUCCCCAGUGAUCCAACAGUGCUUGAAUAACUAGAAAACUAGCACUUUCUGUGGAUGUACUCUGUGGCAAGGUAGUGUGGUGCCAAAAUAGGAAUAUGUAUGCCAGCUAUCUCUCCACUGCAGUUUGAGAACCAUGUUGCUGGAAAUCCAUCUAUUAUACCCUGCGCAUUGCUGAGUGUCACAGGCCUGUGUAGCAGGAGGCUAUUAAUGGCCCUGCACAAUUCCAUGACAAUGGCCUCUAUGGUGGAUUUUCCAACUCCAAAACGAUUUCCAACUAACUGGUAGCAAUCUGGUGUUGCAAGCGUCCACAAUGUGAUUGCCAUUCUCUUUGCCAUUGUCAGUGCAGGUCUCAUUCUGGUGUUCCUGGGCUGGAGGGCUGGGGUGAGUGUGACAGAUCCAGGAAUGUGGCCUUGUGCAUCUGAAAGUUUUGCAGCUAUUGCUCAUCAUCCCAGCCCUGCAGUAUGAUGUGACACCAGUCAGUUCUUGUUUCUUGGGUCAAGAAGUAGCGCUGCACUGUUCACAGCUGUGAACACCAACAAUCUUGAAUUGGUUCUCUCUAUGUCUAACAGCAGUCUGCCCUCCAGGAAAAUUGCCCUAUUCCCGGUGGCUCUACUUGCAGCUCUGCAAAUACCAAAGGCUUGGGCGUCCUGUGCUUGCAAAACUCAUGACAGUAGUGCAGAGCUGUGCUGGCUCCAUGCUUCUGUUAGAGAUGGUGGACAGCAACAAGUCCGAUGUUGGUUUGUGGGAUUUUCAAAAUAGGCAUGAAAAUUAUGGGCUAGAGAUGGCAUUAUAGGGUGGAGAAAGUUGUGUGAUGGAAACUUAACCCUGCAGUUCCAGUCACCUCUGUGUGACAAAGCAUUGCCAAAACUUCCCAAAAGAGAGCAUCCUCGAUGGUGGUAAGUUGUACACUGUGAUUCCUACCACACUGUGCAUCAGAACAAAUGGUUCUGGUGAGUAUGUGCAGUGCUGAUGCAAGGAGCCAAGUAUGCAUGUGCACAAGCAAUAUACUAACUGCAGUGGCUUUAUGCCAACGUAACUUGCAUAGGCAAAAGUUUGUAGGGUAAAUAGCGUGUGAUCCCCAGCAUAAGGGGUGUGGCAGAAUUCCCCUUCACUCCAGAUAUUCUUGGCUUCCUGAAUGACCCUUUGGAGCUGUGGGCAGUUAAGUGUAAAUUAGAGCAGUCUAAGGGCUGUUCUGUGUUACACUAGAUACGUUCCCAACUAGUCUCUGACUCCAGGGGGCUGCAGAGGUGGCAUACUGCCAACAGCAGCAAUUUCCUGGAGGGCAGACUGCUCCAUGCCCUUUUAAAUCGCGGCCCUGGGGCAGCGACUUCUUUCCCCCGUCCCGCCCCACUCCCCUGUCAGUGGCCGGGGG
This is a long non-coding RNA of Caretta caretta (loggerhead turtle), 6254 nucleotides long. RefSeq lists it as uncharacterized. The record is from RefSeq and is a predicted model, not a curated record. NCBI's taxonomy places the organism in Eukaryota, Metazoa, Chordata, Testudines, Cheloniidae.